This 253-nucleotide ribosomal RNA is filed under the name uncultured bacterium. Its description in RNAcentral is "partial 16S ribosomal RNA". It matches the Rfam family "Bacterial small subunit ribosomal RNA", at positions 524 to 776 of the family's 1533-position model. The record is from RNAcentral.
UACGGAGGGUGCAAGCGUUAUCCGGAUUCACUGGGUUUAAAGGGUGCGUAGGUGGGCAAGUAAGUCAGUGGUGAAAUCUCCGGGCUUAACCCGGAAACUGCCAUUGAUACUAUUUGUCUUGAAUACUGUGGAGGUCAGCGGAAUAUGUCAUGUAGCGGUGAAAUGCUUAGAUAUGACAUAGAACACCGAUUGCGAAGGCAGCUCACUACACGAAUAUUGACUCUGAGGCACGAAAGCGUGGGGAUCAAACAGG